This is a long non-coding RNA of Bombina bombina (fire-bellied toad), 248 nucleotides long. RefSeq lists it as uncharacterized. The transcript has 3 exons. The record is from RefSeq and is a predicted model, not a curated record. Lineage: Eukaryota; Metazoa; Chordata; Amphibia; Anura; Bombinatoridae.
CUGAAGAGCUGGAAAAUGCAGCAUAUGAAGUAAAAGGUGACGAAGAAUCUGAUGUAGAAGCGAGAAACAUGGAAGCUGAGGCUGAAAAUCCUGUGUCGCACGAAAUAUCAAAACCUUCAGAGCUAGAUGGUGAAGACAAUGAUAAUGAUGGUGAAGAACACAUAACUCCAUCCGGGGAGGAGAAGAACGAUAAAGAGCUGCAGGGAGGUUUUCCAGAUGACAAACCAAGCAGGGCAGAAGUGCACGAG